This is a long non-coding RNA of Hyla sarda, 293 nucleotides long. RefSeq lists it as uncharacterized. The record is from RefSeq and is a predicted model, not a curated record. Lineage: Eukaryota; Metazoa; Chordata; Amphibia; Anura; Hylidae. The transcript is spliced from 3 exons.
AGACACUGCCUGCCAGCUGUACAGCCUCUGCGGCCUGUAUCCUCCAUACCAGCGGAGCUCCGUCCAGUCUGACAGUCUCCGAUCUGCAGGGCGGCCAUCAGAGGCCUCUUGAAUUGCUGCGGAGAUGGAUUUCCCUUUGAUUUGGAUAUAUUGAUCUGUCAUCUCGAUAUGGAUUUGUCACCUCGGUUCUUUUUAUAAGAUGUGUUUCACCAAUCUAUUUAUCACUUAUAUGAGAAUAUUGAUUUCAUAUCCUUUAGAUCUGAUGAAGGUCAAUGCCUGACCGAAACAUUAUC